ACUACAAGGAUCCCUAGUACGGCGAGUGAACGGGAAGACUCAAAUUUAAAAUCUGGCAGUCUACGAUUGUCCGAAUUGUAAUCUCGAGAAGUGUUUUCCGCGUUGGCCUGUGCACAAGUCCCUUGGAACAGGGCGUCAUAGAGGGUGAGAAUCCCGUCCUUGGCACAGAUACCCAAUGCUUUGUGAUACACUCUCAAUGAGUCGAGUUGUUUGGGAAUGCAGCUCAAAAUGGGAGGUAAAUUCCUUCUAAAGCUAAAUACUGGCGAGAGACCGAUAGCGAACAAGUACCGUGAGGGAAAGAUGAAAAGCACUUUGGAAAGAGAGUCAAACAGUACGUGAAAUUGUUGAAAGGGAAACGAUUGAAGUCAGUCGUGCCUGCCUAAAUUCAGCCUUCUGGUGUAUUUCUAGGUCGGCAGGUCACAUCAGUUUGGGAGGGUUAACAAGGGGAUUAGAAUGUUGGCAACCUCGGUUGUGUUAUACCUAUUUCCUAUUGAUCUUGCUGGACUUGAAGGAACGCCAUGCGCCCGCAAGGGUUAGUCUUCCGGACACUUUCCCACUUUAGAUGCUGGCAUAAUGGCUUUA
This 582-nucleotide ribosomal RNA is filed under the name Dioszegia hungarica. RNAcentral describes it as "eukaryotic LSU rRNA". It matches the Rfam family "Eukaryotic large subunit ribosomal RNA", at positions 64 to 642 of the family's 3401-position model. The record is from RNAcentral. Lineage: Eukaryota; Fungi; Basidiomycota; Tremellomycetes; Tremellales; Bulleribasidiaceae.